GUGGAAAUCAACAUUUAACCUUAAUAAAGCCUGGGGUCAAGUGUACAAGUUACAAGAGGAAAAGGGUCCUGAAAUUACAGGAAUUUAAUUUUCUGCUUUUUCAAGUACAAGGAUGCAAUCACAAGCAGACGAACAAGCACAUAGAGAAUGUGAAGCAGUCAAUACCUGAUCUCCUGAGAAGAUUGCCCAUACUAAGAGCCUGCUGAAGAGCACACUUCCUCCAAUCAUACCCACAAGACAACGCGCUCCUUGGAGAAAGGAAUAGGCGGCAGCUAUCGCAUUUGUUAUCACCAAAAAGACGAGAGCUUUCAUGUCAGUGAAUUUAGCUUUCUUUUGAAUUGAAAAUAUUUCUUUAACUUGGGUAUCUG
This 368-nucleotide unclassified non-coding RNA is filed under the name Hevea brasiliensis (rubber tree). Lineage: Eukaryota; Viridiplantae; Streptophyta; Magnoliopsida; Malpighiales; Euphorbiaceae. The record is from RNAcentral.